AGUGAACGCUGGCGGUAGGCCUAACACAUGCAAGUCGAACGGCAGCACAGUAAGAGCUUGCUCUUACGGGUGGCGAGUGGCGGACGGGUGAGGAAUACAUCGGAAUCUACUUUUUCGUGGGGGAUAACGUAGGGAAACUUACGCUAAUACCGCAUACGACCUACGGGUGAAAGCAGGGGAUCUUCGGACCUUGCGCGAUUGAAUGAGCCGAUGUCGGAUUAGCUAGUUGGCGGGGUAAAGGCCCACCAAGGCGACGAUCCGUAGCUGGUCUGAGAGGAUGAUCAGCCACACUGGAACUGAGACACGGUCCAGACUCCUACGGGAGGCAGCAGUGGGGAAUAUUGGACAAUGGGCGCAAGCCUGAUCCAGCCAUACCGCGUGGGUGAAGAAGGCCUUCGGGUUGUAAAGCCCUUUUGUUGGGAAAGAAAAGCAGCAGGUUAAUACCACGCUGUUGUGACGGUACCCAAAGAAUAAGCACCGGCUAACUUCGUG
RNAcentral lists this ribosomal RNA (492 nucleotides) under uncultured bacterium. RNAcentral describes it as "partial 16S ribosomal RNA". It matches the Rfam family "Bacterial small subunit ribosomal RNA", at positions 29 to 507 of the family's 1533-position model. The record is from RNAcentral.